RNAcentral lists this ribosomal RNA (1633 nucleotides) under Triticum aestivum (bread wheat). RNAcentral describes it as "partial small subunit ribosomal RNA". The record is from RNAcentral. Lineage: Eukaryota; Viridiplantae; Streptophyta; Magnoliopsida; Poales; Poaceae.
GAGCGAUUCUGCGCGACGGUGCGGUCAAAGGUAGGGCGCGGAGGGGCGGUGGUGGCAGUAGUACCUUCACCAAUAUAGAGUUUUUCUCACACGCCGCGCCGACGAAUGGUCCUUUACCUUGUGACUGCCUCUGUUGUCUCGUUUCUUACGGUUCACCGCACAGUGAACCUUCCGGCGUGUGUUGGCCUACACCAGUACGCUGUUACCGUUGGAGCACUAGGGUACCUUACCUCCGUUUGGCGAUUACCGCGGUUCGGAUUGACGGUCCGGCAAGGGGGAAGGGAGGGGAGCGGAGAGGCCGCGGUUCUCGGUAGCGGAGGAGGAGCCGCAGUCUACGCCGAGGCCGAGGCCGAGAGGGCCUUCGCCGCUACUGCUGCGUGGCGGCCAGCAGUCCCGCCGCCAGUCGCGGCGGUGACUCGAGGAGUCCCGGGAGAGAGGGUUCUUCGGUUCCGUUCGACAGCUUCGGCAGUUGCGUCUCAACCUCAGCGGAGCGUCGCAGCUCCUUCACCACCGACAAGAACUUCGGCUGAUGGCCGCACGAAUAAAGGAAUGACCCUUGAAGUGAAACCCGUAUAUACGACUUCUAACGAACAAACUUCUGGGCUGCUAUUUCAAGGCACCUUCCAGAUCUCUAUGAGGGUCUUAGACCUAAACAAUCACGGGAAGAAGCUGUCGGGAACCGAGGUUGAACUUUUAUAUCUGUUCUAUACACAGAGCAAAAACUUCAUGGACAGUAAACACGAUUUGACAUUUGUAUUUUGGUAGAAGAACAAACCAAUUACAACCGUAAACACUUCAAAGAGUACCAUACACCGAAUGUGGUUUCAAACAAAUCGUGUACGAAAAAGCGAUGAGAGACGUGAGAACUUUUAGUACUUACGUCCCAAACUCCCAGCUGUGUUUCAAAUAGUAUCGUUGUACCUGUAAUUCCUGCAUAAACUUCGAGGGCACCUCCGGGGAGUAGCGGUAUUCUCCCUUAUGUUGUAUGCUAAAUCUACUUCUUAUAUUCCAGCAAUCCGUGCGUCUCUCAACCCUGCACAGAGGCGACCUUCGCUAGUCUGUCAAUAAGCAGAGCCGAAGCUUCGUACAGUUCACUUGAAACCUUGUUAACUAAUAUAGUGUUUUGGGUGCCUUUGGGUGCUGCUCGAACACACGAAUUCAUUAAGACAUCAAUAGAGAUGAUAAUUUCCCCUCAAACAUUCAGUAAACAGAGGGAGGGUACCGGGGUGGUUAACUUCCUAGAAGGGUACUAAGAUAUAAAGAAAAAUGGUUGGCGUUGGGGUGGCUCAAGCCGUUCACCACUAAGUUAGUGUAGAAGAAACAAAGAAUCAUACGUGAGUACACUAGGUCACGGUAUUUUUGAUUAGAUAGUAGUUAGUUUUUAACAGAGGUCGUCGGGCACCUAGGUGUUGGUAUGUACCGUUUAGAUGGAUAGAUGUGGUAUAGUCUUGAAACCCUCCUUCCAAACUUCCUUUAUACGGGAUCUCCGUUAUUAUUUCAACAAUAAAAUAUAAAGGAAUAAGUACUAUUUACAAAUAAUAAGUACGAUCUUAACAUAAUUGGCUUUUGAACUAUGUACACACUUAUGUAUCUUUUUUGUGGCACAGGGAUCAUACGGAGAUGAACUGAUCGA